Molecule: transfer RNA, 85 nt
Filed under: Friedmanniomyces endolithicus
Lineage: Eukaryota; Fungi; Ascomycota; Dothideomycetes; Mycosphaerellales; Teratosphaeriaceae
Description: tRNA-Arg
Rfam family: tRNA
About the family: Transfer RNA (tRNA) molecules are approximately 80 nucleotides in length. Their secondary structure includes four short double-helical elements and three loops (D, anti-codon, and T loops). Further hydrogen bonds mediate the characteristic L-shaped molecular structure. tRNAs have two regions of fundamental functional importance: the anti-codon, which is responsible for specific mRNA codon recognition, and the 3' end, to which the tRNAs corresponding amino acid is attached (by aminoacyl-tRNA synthetases). tRNAs cope with the degeneracy of the genetic code in two manners: having more than one tRNA (with a specific anti-codon) for a particular amino acid; and 'wobble' base-pairing, i.e. permitting non-standard base-pairing at the 3rd anti-codon position.
Source: RNAcentral
GGCCGUUUGGCUCAAUGGUAGAGCGUCCGCCUCCUAUUAGUAAUGGUCAAGCGGAAGGUUGUGGGUUCGAGUCCCAUGAUGGUCG